Molecule: long non-coding RNA, 1000 nt
Filed under: Brassica rapa (field mustard)
Lineage: Eukaryota; Viridiplantae; Streptophyta; Magnoliopsida; Brassicales; Brassicaceae
Description: long non-coding RNA (BRAP_LNC007660)
Source: RNAcentral
AAUAAGGUAGUCAUCGACCAUGUAGUUACUGAUUCUCAAUUGGCUGAUAUAUUUUCUAAAUCUCUUGAAUACACUCGAUUUAUCACUCUAAGAAAUGCAAUUGGAGUAUGCAAUCUUGACCAUUGAGUCAAGAUGUGCAGAUAUUAGUGUAGGCACUUGCUCAGGAUGUACGUAUAAUUCAGAUUAUGUUUGGACCUGAGAACGCUGUGGAAAAGAGCUGCUUGUUGUGCCGUCAAUAUGUGAGGUACAGGUUUCGCGUCAAUCUAUGGUCCUUUCCUAAUCUCAAAAGAGCCAGUCACGUUUCAGAAAGAUGCUCAAAAGAAAAACAAAAACAAAAAGAGAAAAAUGGUGACAACAAGGGUUUCACAGCACGCGGAUAAAGGUUGAAAACCCACAUGAUUGAUAAAGGCAUGGCAAUGUGAAAGCUAGCCAUAAAAAGACAAUCAGGUGCACCAGAUCAUAAAAUCUUCAAAUAGUGAUACGUGCAACCUGAAUCAAGUGCUGAGCCAAGUCUUGCAGUACUCAUCUUAAAAGGUACAAAGAAUGAAUUUUUAAAUUAUGAGAUAAAGAUUGGUCAAUUGUGAGCUUUAACUCGUGUUUGAUUACUAUUCUGAGUCUUAUGAUACAAUAUUGAUUCACGAAUAUGCUUGCAUGACAUUGAGUUUGGAUGAGUGAAUUUGAAAGUACAGGUCAAAUAAGGAAAAAGGCUAAAAAGGAGGGACCGGAGUUGCAAUUUCGGAACAGUUGGUUGAGUUUCCCUCUUAAGGGAAGUUGUGCAUCAGAAACCCUAAACGGUUACUGUUUAAAAUCAAGAACUGCUCUUCAUCAUCUCGUUUGCUCUAAAUCAAAAGGCGAGUUUCUUGACAUCUAUUGUGAGAACGAAGAAGAUGGCUAAAUGCGAUGUUGCAAUUGCUUCUUCGUCACAUGCAGAGGAUGAAUCACUGAGGCCUCAUCUCACUGAUGAAGGAUCUGAGGCAACUUCUCCGAGAAACAAUCUACC